This 482-nucleotide ribosomal RNA is filed under the name uncultured bacterium. RNAcentral's name for it is "partial 16S ribosomal RNA". It matches the Rfam family "Bacterial small subunit ribosomal RNA", at positions 29 to 507 of the family's 1533-position model. The record is from RNAcentral.
AGUGAACGCUGGCGGCAUGCUUUACACAUGCAAGUCGAACGGUAACACCAUUUCGGUUUCUUCCGAGUGGCGAACGGGGGCGUAAUACAUCGGAACAUACCUGGUUCUGGGUUUUAACUACGCGAAAGAUAAGCUAAUACCGCAUGAUAUCUAAGACUGAAUACAGGGGACCGUCGGGCCUUUCGCUACUAGGGCGGCUGGUGGCAGCUUAGGUAGGUUGUGGGAUAAAGGCUUACCAAGCCGACGAUCUGUAGCUGGUCUGAGAGGACGACCAGCCACACUGGAACUGAGACACGGCCCAGACUCCUACGGGAGGCAGCAGUGGGGAAUUUUGGACAAUGGGCGCAAGCCUGAUCCAGCAAUGCCGCGUGCAGGAUGAAGGCCUUCGGGUUGUAAACUGCUUUUGUACGGAAAGAAAAGCACUCUGCUAAUACAGGGGGGUCAUGACGGUACCGAAAGAAUAAGCACCGGCUAACUACGUG